GUUAAGGUGGCAGAGCCUGGUAAUUGCAUAAAACUUAAAACUUUACCCCCAGAGGUUCAACUCCUCUCCUUAACA
Molecule: transfer RNA, 75 nt
Organism: Cavia porcellus (domestic guinea pig)
Lineage: Eukaryota; Metazoa; Chordata; Mammalia; Rodentia; Caviidae
Rfam family: tRNA
About the family: Transfer RNA (tRNA) molecules are approximately 80 nucleotides in length. Their secondary structure includes four short double-helical elements and three loops (D, anti-codon, and T loops).
Source: Rfam